Molecule: long non-coding RNA, 1215 nt
Filed under: Setaria viridis
Lineage: Eukaryota; Viridiplantae; Streptophyta; Magnoliopsida; Poales; Poaceae
Description: long non-coding RNA (SVIR_LNC001677)
Source: RNAcentral
AUAGACCUAAGUCCUAUACAAUGUGUAUGUAUGUUAUGCUUGUAUGAUCUAUAUAGUAUAUAGGAAGUACAUAUGAACCUAGAGCUAACUCUUAGUCCUUCUCCCUAGCUUAGUUAUCUUGAGAUGAUUCUUAUGUGUGUCGCACUACCCUAUCUAUCAUUAUCUUACCCCUACCUUGAGUAGUGUCUCUAUCCAUCUUAUGAUAUACUCAUAUGCAUAGUCAAAUCUUUUGACCUACCCGCCUUCCUUUGGAAAAUACGAUACCCUUGGAAAUACUCUUGGGUGAAAUGCUACAAUGGUAUAUCCAUGUGCUUGUGAAUUUAUUUGUGAUCGUUAAAUAUACCAAUGGAGCGCUUGAUAAAACUAAGAGAUUGAUACGAUGCAACUUAACAAAAUCAAACGACUCAAUAACUGUGAGCAAUGUCGAAGACAGAUAGAAUAUUGGAAGAAGCCUAGAAAGUUCUAUUUGCAAUCUAAGUAACUCAAUAACUAGCCUUACACCAAGAGAUUAGAAUAUUGGACAAGGCCUAGAAAGUUCUAGUACAGAUAACUUAAUGACCGGAUGACGGUACUUAGAAGCUCGCCUGAGAUCGAAGCCGAUGCAGCCCUUCGCGCAAGAAGAAACUCGUCGACUUCUACUCUACUCCUACUCCUAGGGUUUGACAGCGUGGCGUCAAAAGGUUGUAUUGAUUGAUUGAUGAUUCCUCAAUACAAAGUUGAUGGGCUUAUAUUUAUACCUUGGAGCAAACUAAAAACCUAAUUAGUUACGACAUGAACCAUUACAACGAAUCUAAAAAGCUACUAAAGAUAACUCUCCACGUUUUCCCUUAUUUGGCGGAGUUGAUUUCGCUUAGGACUGGUCCCUUCUGGAUCUUCUAUUGGCUUCUAGAAUCCGGUCGUCUGUAGCUAGUCUUGGUCAAUGUCAACAGACCUUUUCUUCUGCAAAUCCAUUGGCUGUUAGAACUUAUCUUCAUUGGUUGACUCUGAUAAAAAAACAAGUAUCAACACAUGCCCCCAAUUUUGGAAUAUAAUAUUAUGUUCCAAAAUUCUCUUCUUUCAUAAGCAGUAUCAUAGAUUCUUAGUCGAUAUCUCCCCAAAGCAGAAAGAGUCAUUGCCGCAAUUAUAAUAUCUUUUCCCCGAAUUUUUUGAUAGCAUCCUCCCUAUUUUUCUAGAUUUACCCUGUGGAAAUUGUUAUAUAACUACUCUACCCCUUUC